UAUCUCCGAUCUCCCCACCCCCAUAAUUUUUUUUUUUCAUUUUAAAUUUUUGCAAAUCCAGCUAUGUCAUUUGCUUCCACCAAACUCAAGAUUCAAGAGCAUAGAGAAAUAAAUAUUUUGCAAGAUCCUAGAAAAGACCUCUAAUCCAUAGCAUUAGGGCCAGCACAGGCCUUCAACUCAGGGCUCCAAAUCCACUGCACCAAAAACUUCCUUCCUCUCCCACCAUACAUGUUAAAAGUCCUUCCUUGCUUGUCCC
Molecule: unclassified non-coding RNA, 256 nt
Filed under: Hevea brasiliensis (rubber tree)
Lineage: Eukaryota; Viridiplantae; Streptophyta; Magnoliopsida; Malpighiales; Euphorbiaceae
Source: RNAcentral